AUGAACGCUGGCGGCGUGCCUAAUACAUGCCAGUCGAGCGAGCAGACGAGGAGCUUGCUCCUCUGACGUUAGCGGCGGACGGGUGAGUAACACGUGGAUAACCUACCUAUAAGACUGGGAUAACUUCGGGAAACCGGAGCUAAUACCGGAUAAUAUAUUGAACCGCAUGGUUCAAUAGUGAAAGACGGUUUUGCUGUCACUUAUAGAUGGAUCCGCGCCGCAUUAGCUAGUUGGUAAGGUAACGGCUUACCAAGGCAACGAUGCGUAGCCGACCUGAGAGGGUGAUCGGCCACACUGGAACUGAGACACGGUCCAGACUCCUACGGGAGGCAGCAGUAGGGAAUCUUCCGCAAUGGGCGAAAGCUUGACGGAGCAACGCCGCGUGAGUGAUGAAGGUCUUCGGAUCGUAAAACUCUGUUAUUAGGGAAGAACAAAUGUGUAAGUAACUAUGCACGUCUUGACGGUACCUAAUCAGAAAGCCACGGCUAACUACGUG
Molecule: ribosomal RNA, 496 nt
Filed under: uncultured bacterium
Lineage: Bacteria
Description: partial 16S ribosomal RNA
Rfam family: Bacterial small subunit ribosomal RNA
Source: RNAcentral